CUUGGCAAGAAGCUUCUCAGUUAAUGAUGCUAGACUCCACUUCUUGGGAUCAUCAAGCUUUUUGUUGGCAAGUUCGGAAAGAUCUUCCAAAGCCUUCACAGAUACAUUGUGAUCUUGGCGAACUUUGAAAGCAUCAUUUGCAAUGCAAACACCCACCUUCACAACAGUUGGAUCCUCAAGAAGAGAUUGCAGAGUUUGAGGGAUUCCGGAGUGGAUGAUAUGCAAAACAUAACAAUUACCCUUGUCACCACCUGGGAAGGCUGCUGUUAUGCAGAUA
RNAcentral lists this unclassified non-coding RNA (277 nucleotides) under Hevea brasiliensis (rubber tree). Lineage: Eukaryota; Viridiplantae; Streptophyta; Magnoliopsida; Malpighiales; Euphorbiaceae. The record is from RNAcentral.